GAUGAACGCUGGCGGCGUGCCUAAUACAUGCAAGUCGAACGAAACUUCUUUAUCACCGAGUGCUUGCACUCACCGAUAAAGAGUUGAGUGGCGAACGGGUGAGUAACACGUGGGCAACCUGCCCAAAAGAGGGGGAUAACACUUGGAAACAGGUGCUAAUACCGCAUAACCAUAGUUACCGCAUGGUAACUAUGUAAAAGGUGGCUAUACUACCACUUUUGGAUGGGCCCGCGGCGCAUUAGCUAGUUGGUAGGGUAAAGGCUUACCAAGGCAAUGAUGCGUAGCCGAAUUGAGAGGUUGAUCGGCCACAUUGGGACUGAGACACGGCCCAAACUCCUACGGGAGGCAGCAGUAGGGAAUCUUCCACAAUGGGCGAAAGCCUGAUGGAGCAACGCCGCGUGGGUGAAGAAGGUCUUCGGAUCGUAAAACCCUGUUGUUAGAGAAGAAAGUGCGUGAGAGUAACUGUUCACGUUUCGACGGUAUCUAACCAGAAAGCCACGGCUAACUACGU
Molecule: ribosomal RNA, 511 nt
Filed under: uncultured bacterium
Lineage: Bacteria
Description: partial 16S ribosomal RNA
Rfam family: Bacterial small subunit ribosomal RNA
Source: RNAcentral